AGUGCCACGGUACUUUGCAAGCUCUCAUGUACUACCAGAAGUCAGUCCAUCAAAUGCAGUGGAUGGAGACUGAAGUAAUUCUGAGAAAAAUAAAAGCGAGUGACUAGUGAGUCCUGCUUAUAAUAAGAUGUUGAUGCUGUGACUGGGAACUGGUGUCUGCAUCCCAUGUGACAGAGCUGUCUAAAGACGGGUGUACGAUGGAUAAGAAUACCAUUUCCUUCAAAACUGCUGAAACAUCAUCAUCAUCAACAGUCAUCUGUGUUUAUCGAUACAGUCCAGACAGUGUACCAGAUGCAGAUCAGAAGGCAUAUGACUUGCUCUGCUGAAAGAUAUCUGACUAAUAAAUAGAAUUUCAUGUAUGCCAGUAAACAGUGGGAUAUAUGUCCAUUUUCAGUAGAGGCCCGGGGAGAAAAGCUCCAACAGUCAUUACAAGUUAAAUAGAGAAUAGGCAAUACAAAAUUAAAAUUUAUAAACAGAGCUAGUUAAUACACAUAAUACACAAAUAUGAUAGGAGCAAAA
This is a long non-coding RNA of Protopterus annectens (West African lungfish), 519 nucleotides long. RefSeq lists it as uncharacterized. The transcript has 3 exons. NCBI's taxonomy places the organism in Eukaryota, Metazoa, Chordata, Ceratodontiformes, Protopteridae. The record is from RefSeq and is a predicted model, not a curated record.